This 731-nucleotide ribosomal RNA is filed under the name uncultured Alphaproteobacteria bacterium. RNAcentral describes it as "bacterial SSU rRNA". It matches the Rfam family "Bacterial small subunit ribosomal RNA", at positions 56 to 824 of the family's 1533-position model. The record is from RNAcentral. Lineage: Bacteria; Pseudomonadati; Pseudomonadota; Alphaproteobacteria.
UGCAGUCGAACGUGAUCCAGGCUUCGGUCUGGUGAAAGUGGCAGACGGGUGAGUAACGCGUGGGAACCUGCCCUGUGGUAGGGAAUAACCGCGGGAAACUGCGGCUAAUACCCUAUGAGUCCUUCGGGAGAAAGAUUUAUCGCCAUAGGAGGGGCCCGCGUCGGAUUAGGUAGUUGGUGGGGUAACGGCCUACCAAGCCUUCGAUCCGUAGCUGGUCUGAGAGGAUGAUCAGCCACACUGGGACUGAGAUACGGCCCAGACUCCUACGGGAGGCAGCAGUGGGGAAUAUUGGACAAUGGGGGCAACCCUGAUCCAGCAAUGCCGCGUGGGUGAUGAAGGCCUUCGGGUUGUAAAGCCCUUUCGGCGGGGAAGAUGAUGACGGUACCCGCAGAAGAAGCCCCGGCUAACUUCGUGCCAGCAGCCGCGGUAAUACGAAGGGGGCUAGCGUUGUUCGGAAUUACUGGGCGUAAAGGGCGCGUAGGCUGUGCUGUAAGUCAGGCGUGAAAGGCCCGGGCUCAACCUGGGAAUGGCGCUUGAUACUGCGGCGCUGGAAGGCAGGAGAGGAUGGCGGAAUUCCCAGUGUAGAGGUGAAAUUCGUAGAUAUUGGGAAGAACACCGGUGGCGAAGGCGGCCAUCUGGCCUGCAAUUGACGCUGAGGCGCGAAAGCGUGGGGAGCAAACAGGAUUAGAUACCCUGGUAGUCCACGCUGUAAACGAUGAGUGCUAGACGUC